GAAGGGAGAAAUUCAUUCGCGUUUCGCUGUUGGCGUGAGACGUUCGUGUGACGGAGAGGGUUCGCUCGAUCCGCGCCUUUCGUUUCGCGAUCCGACGGCGAACGCGUGCACUUUUCUCCUGGUAGGACGUGGCGAUCCGUUGGGUGUCGAUCUACGGCCCGGGGUGGAGCCCGCGUGGUUUUUCCGCGCGGACCCUCGGUGUCCUGGCCGACUCGCUCGACGGUAUACGAAAGGUCGAGGGCCGCUUUUAAAGCGUCCGACUCGUCGCAAGCGCUUCGGAAGCGUCGGAUACCGGACCUGGUGCCGAUACCGAUCUCCGAUGGCUGUUGGCGAUGAAUGUCUUGGACAGACCCUCGUGACCGAUCUGCCACGCUAUAGCUUUGGGUACUUUCAGGACCCGUCUUGAAACACGGACCAAGGAGUCUAGCAUGUGCGCGAGUCAUUGGGAAGCACUAAACCUAAAGGCGUAAUGAAAGUAAAGGUUUGUCUUGCACAAACCGAGGGAGGAUGGGCGGUUGGCCCUUAAAAGCCGCCGCUCCGCACUCCCGGGGCGUCUCGUUCUCAUUGCGAGAGGAGGCGCACCAAGAGCGUACACGCUGGGACCCGAAAGAUGGUGAACUAUGCCUGGUCAGGACGAAGUCAGGGGAAACCCUGAUGGAGGUCCGUAGCGAUUCUGACGUGCAAAUCGAUCGUCGGAACUGGGUAUAGGGGCGAAAGACUAAUCNAACCAUCUANUAGCUGGU
RNAcentral lists this ribosomal RNA (743 nucleotides) under Apion sp. BF-2002. Its description in RNAcentral is "eukaryotic LSU rRNA". It matches the Rfam family "Eukaryotic large subunit ribosomal RNA", at positions 561 to 955 of the family's 3401-position model. The record is from RNAcentral. Lineage: Eukaryota; Metazoa; Arthropoda; Insecta; Coleoptera; Brentidae.